CGCAGCCGCGGUAAUUCCAGCUCCAAUAGCGUAUAUUAAAGUUGCUGCAGUUAAAAAGCUCGUAGUUGAAUUUCGGAACCAAUAUGUUGGUUGUGCCUCGGUACGUACUGGCAUUGUUGGUUUCUCUCUUCUGACGAACUAUGAUGUCAUUAAUUUGGUGUCAUGGGGAAUCAGGACUGUUACUUUGAAAAAUUAGAGUGUUUAAAGCAGGCUCACGCUUGAAUACAUUAGCAUGGAAUAAUGAAAUAGGACGUUUGAUUCUAUUUUGUUGGUUUCUAGGAUUGACGUAAUGAUUAAUAGGGAUAGUUGGGGGCAUUAGUAUUCAAUUGUCAGAGGUGAAAUUCUUGGAUUUAUUGAAGACUAACUACUGCGAAAGCAUUUGCCAAGGAUGUUUUCAUUAAUC
This 403-nucleotide ribosomal RNA is filed under the name uncultured Glomus. RNAcentral describes it as "SSU rRNA". It matches the Rfam family "Eukaryotic small subunit ribosomal RNA", at positions 569 to 978 of the family's 1831-position model. The record is from RNAcentral. Lineage: Eukaryota; Fungi; Glomeromycota; Glomeromycetes; Glomerales; Glomeraceae.